Molecule: small nucleolar RNA, 224 nt
Filed under: Phytophthora megakarya
Lineage: Eukaryota; Oomycota; Peronosporomycetes; Peronosporales; Peronosporaceae
Description: Small nucleolar RNA U3
Rfam family: Small nucleolar RNA U3
About the family: Small nucleolar RNAs (snoRNAs) are involved in the processing and modification of rRNA in the nucleolus. There are two main classes of snoRNAs: the box C/D class, and the box H/ACA class.
Source: Rfam by way of RNAcentral
AAGACCGUACUUACACAGGAUCAUUUCUAUAGUACUUUCUUUUCUACUUGACUUUCCAAGCUAGAUAAUCUCAUUGACUUUGAUGAUCGUAUUCGACUUCAUUCAUUGACUCGGGAUGUCGGUGGUUGUAGUGCUGGGUUCUCUUUUGGACUUGGCCUCUCAUUGAUGAACGCCCGUUGUCGCUAUUCCAAGGCAGCAUGAGUAAGUGGAGUGAUAUGAGAAGU